GGGUUGUGAGGUUAAGUGACUAAGCGUACACGGUGGAUGCCCUGGCAGUCAGAGGCGAUGAAGGACGUGCUAAUCUGCGAUAAGCGUCGGUAAGGUGAUAUGAACCGUUAUAACCGGCGAUUUCCGAAUGGGGAAACCCAGUGUGAUUCGUCACACUAUCAUUAACUGAAUCCAUAGGUUAAUGAGGCGAACCGGGGGAACUGAAACAUCUAAGUACCCCGAGGAAAAGAAAUCAACCGAGAUUCCCCCAGUAGCGGCGAGCGAACGGGGAGGAGCCCAGAGCCUGAAUCAGUGUGUGUGUUAGUGGAAGCGUCUGGAAAGGCGCGCGAUACAGGGUGACAGCCCCGUACACAAAAAUGCACAUGCUGUGAGCUCGAUGAGUAGGGCGGGACACGUGGUAUCCUGUCUGAAUAUGGGGGGACCAUCCUCCAAGGCUAAAUACUCCUGACUGACCGAUAGUGAACCAGUACCGUGAGGGAAAGGCGAAAAGAACCCCGGCGAGGGGAGUGAAAAAGAACCUGAAACCGUGUACGUACAAGCAGUGGGAGCACAGAGCAAUCUGUGUGACUGCGUACCUUUUGUAUAAUGGGUCAGCGACUUAUAUUCUGUAGCAAGGUUAACCGAAUAGGGGAGCCGAAGGGAAACCGAGUCUUAACUGGGCGUUAAGUUGCAGGGUAUAGACCCGAAACCCGGUGAUCUAGCCAUGGGCAGGUUGAAGGUUGGGUAACACUAACUGGAGGACCGAACCGACUAAUGUUGAAAAAUUAGCGGAUGACUUGUGGCUGGGGGUGAAAGGCCAAUCAAACCGGGAGAUAGCUGGUUCUCCCCGAAAGCUAUUUAGGUAGCGCCUCGUGAAUUCAUCUCCGGGGGUAGAGCACUGUUUCGGCAAGGGGGUCAUCCCGACUUACCAACCCGAUGCAAACUGCGAAUACCGGAGAAUGUUAUCACGGGAGACACACGGCGGGUGCUAACGUCCGUCGUGAAGAGGGAAACAACCCAGACCGCCAGCUAAGGUCCCAAAGUCAUGGUUAAGUGGGAAACGAUGUGGGAAGGCCCAGACAGCCAGGAUGUUGGCUUAGAAGCAGCCAUCAUUUAAAGAAAGCGUAAUAGCUCACUGGUCGAGUCGGCCUGCGCGGAAGAUGUAACGGGGCUAAACCAUGCACCGAAGCUGCGGCAGCGACACUAUGUGUUGUUGGGUAGGGGAGCGUUCUGUAAGCCUGUGAAGGUGUGCUGUGAGGCAUGCUGGAGGUAUCAGAAGUGCGAAUGCUGACAUAAGUAACGAUAAAGCGGGUGAAAAGCCCGCUCGCCGGAAGACCAAGGGUUCCUGUCCAACGUUAAUCGGGGCAGGGUGAGUCGACCCCUAAGGCGAGGCCGAAAGGCGUAGUCGAUGGGAAACAGGUUAAUAUUCCUGUACUUGGUGUUACUGCGAAGGGGGGACGGAGAAGGCUAUGUUGGCCGGGCGACGGUUGUCCCGGUUUAAGCGUGUAGGCUGGUUUUCCAGGCAAAUCCGGAAAAUCAAGGCUGAGGCGUGAUGACGAGGCACUACGGUGCUGAAGCAACAAAUGCCCUGCUUCCAGGAAAAGCCUCUAAGCAUCAGGUAACAUCAAAUCGUACCCCAAACCGACACAGGUGGUCAGGUAGAGAAUACCAAGGCGCUUGAGAGAACUCGGGUGAAGGAACUAGGCAAAAUGGUGCCGUAACUUCGGGAGAAGGCACGCUGAUAUGUAGGUGAAGCGACUUGCUCGUGGAGCUGAAAUCAGUCGAAGAUACCAGCUGGCUGCAACUGUUUAUUAAAAACACAGCACUGUGCAAACACGAAAGUGGACGUAUACGGUGUGACGCCUGCCCGGUGCCGGAAGGUUAAUUGAUGGGGUCAGCGCAAGCGAAGCUCUUGAUCGAAGCCCCGGUAAACGGCGGCCGUAACUAUAACGGUCCUAAGGUAGCGAAAUUCCUUGUCGGGUAAGUUCCGACCUGCACGAAUGGCGUAAUGAUGGCCAGGCUGUCUCCACCCGAGACUCAGUGAAAUUGAACUCGCUGUGAAGAUGCAGUGUACCCGCGGCAAGACGGAAAGACCCCGUGAACCUUUACUAUAGCUUGACACUGAACAUUGAGCCUUGAUGUGUAGGAUAGGUGGGAGGCUUUGAAGUGUGGACGCCAGUCUGCAUGGAGCCGACCUUGAAAUACCACCCUUUAAUGUUUGAUGUUCUAACGUUGACCCGUAAUCCGGGUUGCGGACAGUGUCUGGUGGGUAGUUUGACUGGGGCGGUCUCCUCCUAAAGAGUAACGGAGGAGCACGAAGGUUGGCUAAUCCUGGUCGGACAUCAGGAGGUUAGUGCAAUGGCAUAAGCCAGCUUGACUGCGAGCGUGACGGCGCGAGCAGGUGCGAAAGCAGGUCAUAGUGAUCCGGUGGUUCUGAAUGGAAGGGCCAUCGCUCAACGGAUAAAAGGUACUCCGGGGAUAACAGGCUGAUACCGCCCAAGAGUUCAUAUCGACGGCGGUGUUUGGCACCUCGAUGUCGGCUCAUCACAUCCUGGGGCUGAAGUAGGUCCCAAGGGUAUGGCUGUUCGCCAUUUAAAGUGGUACGCGAGCUGGGUUUAGAACGUCGUGAGACAGUUCGGUCCCUAUCUGCCGUGGGCGCUGGAGAACUGAGGGGGGCUGCUCCUAGUACGAGAGGACCGGAGUGGACGCAUCACUGGUGUUCGGGUUGUCAUGCCAAUGGCACUGCCCGGUAGCUAAAUGCGGAAGAGAUAAGUGCUGAAAGCAUCUAAGCACGAAACUUGCCCCGAGAUGAGUUCUCCCUGACUCCUUGAGAGUCCUGAAGGAACGUUGAAGACGACGACGUUGAUAGGCCGGGUGUGUAAGCGCAGCGAUGCGUUGAGCUAACCGGUACUAAUGAACCGUGAGGCUUAACCUUACAACGCCGAAGGUGUUU
Molecule: ribosomal RNA, 2932 nt
Filed under: Escherichia coli
Lineage: Bacteria; Pseudomonadati; Pseudomonadota; Gammaproteobacteria; Enterobacterales; Enterobacteriaceae
Description: 23S ribosomal RNA
Rfam family: Bacterial large subunit ribosomal RNA
Source: RNAcentral